Long non-coding RNA from Paramormyrops kingsleyae, 1313 nucleotides. RefSeq lists it as uncharacterized. Lineage: Eukaryota; Metazoa; Chordata; Actinopteri; Osteoglossiformes; Mormyridae. The record is from RefSeq and is a predicted model, not a curated record.
CUGGAAAGGCUACAGGUAGCUCCGCUUCGAAUUUGUAACCCACGAUUCCUGGAGCUGUUUACCUUUCCUGUUGCAGAUAAGACUGCAGCAGGUUGAAGGAGAGAAGAGGACUAGCAAAGGUAGUGGCUGCAGGAAGGCUCCCAGAGCUAACAUGGUGAUCAUCACCACCAACAUCACACACAGGCUGGCAAACUAGAAGGAGAGCGCUUAUAAUCGCCACCUGACCUGCGAGGUCCCACCGGCGCUGUCCACGGCCAGGGUGACAGACAGGGCGCAGCAGAUGACGUGGAUCUUAAAGAAGGAGCCCAGGAAAUUACUGCAGCCCAGGGCCAGCAUCUCCUGACCAGAGAGAGGCAUUCACACCUGAUUGGGGUCGACAUCAUAGCCAUGCUUAGCCGCCAGUGUCCGGCCCAUGGCCAGGUUGAUGACAUAUCCUACGAUGGCCAGAGAGAAGGCUGUGCUCAGCAUGACCUCCCACUCACUCACUUUGGGGAGGAUGGGUGUGGGGAACCUGUUUGGAUUGGGUCAAAAGACAUGGUUGGAAAUAUUUAUAUUCCAGUGAAAAUCAGAAGAACUGGCUUUAUCGCUGGGUGUGCCCUCACCCGAGAGGAAUCUCUCCAACGAUGUCCAUGUGGUAUUUCCUUGGCAUGUCAAGAGGCCCAGAGAUAGCUGUAGCAACCACCACCUACGUGAGAGAAAGGCCCAUUAAACACAGAAACGGAAACCACAGUUAAUCACCCAGAAUCAUUCUUUUAUAGAUGUAUAAAUAUAUUCAAAGCAUGUCUUUACUGUUUUUGGUCCUUAUCUUUCGGCAGUUGAGUCAGAAUCUUGGUGUUUGUAAACUAUAACAUUUCAUUAUGAAAUUGUCAUUUAGAUACCUCUGUACAUUUAAAAAGCAGGAAGUUUCAAUAAUAUCAUAACAAUUUUAACAUUUUUAACUUUCUCUGCUAACACUGGUAAACUGAAACACUGGUUGUUUUCUUACCGAAUGCUUUAUUUGUAUAGACAUGUGAUUGUUUUGAAUUUGUGUAUUCAGAGACGAUUCUAAGAUUUAAGGUGUGGGGUGUAAAAGAACCCAUAAUUCAUAGAGAGGGGAGGGGCCAACCUUAUCAUUAGCCAAUGAUGUUUGAAUUGGUGAGUGACGGGGAAGGGGCACUCCGGGGACCAAUCAGAGUUCAGCUGCGGCCAGUGUCCCUGUGUCCCCCCUCCCCUGUCUAUACUUCAUAAAGUUCUUUAAGGAAGUUAUAAAUAAUAGUGCACAGUGUUCUGACUAUGUGUGUUUUCCCUAACCGUUGUGAAUAAAGUAUCAUGAA